RNAcentral lists this ribosomal RNA (505 nucleotides) under uncultured bacterium. RNAcentral's name for it is "partial 16S ribosomal RNA". It matches the Rfam family "Bacterial small subunit ribosomal RNA", at positions 28 to 507 of the family's 1533-position model. The record is from RNAcentral.
GACGAACGCUGGCGGCGUGCCUAAUACAUGCAAGUAGAACGCACAGUUUAUACCGUAGCUUGCUACACCAUAGACUGUGAGUUGCGAACGGGUGAGUAACGCGUAGGUAACCUGCCUGGUAGCGGGGGAUAACUAUUGGAAACGAUAGCUAAUACCGCAUAAUAUUAAUUAUUGCAUGAUAAUUAAUUGAAAGGUGCAAUUGCACCACUACCAGAUGGACCUGCGUUGUAUUAGCUAGUAGGUGAGGUAACGGCUCACCUAGGCGACGAUACAUAGCCGACCUGAGAGGGUGUUCGGCCACACUGGGACUGAGACACGGCCCAGACUCCUACGGGAGGCAGCAGUAGGGAAUCUUCGGCAAUGGACGAAAGUCUGACCGAGCAACGCCGCGUGAGUGAAGAAGGUUUUCGGAUCGUAAAGCUCUGUUGUAAGAGAAGAACGGGUGUGAGAGUAGAAAGUUCACACUGUGACGGUAUCUUACCAGAAAGGGACGGCUAACUACGUG